RNAcentral lists this long non-coding RNA (3218 nucleotides) under Stegodyphus dumicola. RNAcentral's name for it is "uncharacterized LOC118197079". The record is from RNAcentral. Lineage: Eukaryota; Metazoa; Arthropoda; Arachnida; Araneae; Eresidae.
UAAAAUUGCUAUUCAUUUCAUUCUCCGGUUAAUGAAACAAAAAGUACGGUGCAUUGCGAAUUAGAAGGAGGAAAAUUAAAUUAUUUCUAACGAAAAAAUUACUUUAGAUACAGAAAAGCCAACGAAAGUUAUAGUUGAACCUGUACAGACACCUCCAAAAGAAUAUCCAGGCGAAACGGAAGAAGAGAGAGCGAGACGUGAAGAAUUCGAGCUGAAAAGAAAAAUGAAUCGUCAUCAAGAAGCCAUGAAAGUGCAAAUCGCUAAGAAGCUUCUAUCCCAAGAGGAAAACAUCGAAGAGGAACUAGAUAUCAACACGGAAGACGAAACCGUUUCCGAUGCAAGUGAAGACGUACUUGAGAGCACUCAGGACGACGAUAACGACUACUAUUACGCUUCCGCAGACGAUGUCACAGAUGAUGCAGAACAGCAGACGAAUUCCUCGGUGUGAUAGCCAAUAAAUAUGGCAUUUUAUGCGUGUGGAACUCUGCUACAAAUGUUAUGUUUUGUUUUGUUAAUGUUGCCAGGCUGACAGAAAACUCCCUCGUACAUUUUCUUUAAAAGAUUUCAUGGCUAAUACUCUAUUCCACGCUUAAUAUGACUUCCGUAGCUAUUAUUCGCUUCGUACCUUCUGCUAUAAAUGUGUAUGUGUCUUAAAAGCAAAAGGAGCUUGUGAUAAACGUAAUAAUCAUAAAGCAUCGAAAAUGUUUUUAAUUUGCUUUCACAUCAAGGCAGUUUUUAAAGCUUAAAUCGUGGCAUUCAUUCACUGCUCAAAAUUAAAAAAUUGCAAACUGUACACAUGUGUUAAAAUAACUAUUCUAAAUGGUGAUAAACACUUUAUUUCAUAUGCAAAAACAUAAAAAAUAUUUUACUAGUGUCCAUUAUAACUAGUUCAUAUACCCUGAAAAAAAAUUUCACAAAUUAAUUUUUGUAUGCAGAUAUUACAAUGAACGAUAUUUUUAUUCAAAAUUUCCCAUGAAAACAUUUUUACUGCAAGACAAAUCAAUGUGCUGGAAUGAGUAUUUAAAGAAUAUAUGUCAUACAUAUGUAAUUUUAAUUAGGCCAAAUUUAAAUGAAGAAUAAACUUGUAAUACUAGAUCGAUAUCAAUAUAAAUCUAAUUAAAGCAUUUCUGUAGUUAUAUUUAUAGAACUAGAAAUCACUAUUUUUGCAUCAGUUUAUGAACUUCCUUCUUAAUCUACAAACACUUGCACUUUUUUUUUUUUUUUUUCAGAAUAUAAACUUCCCAUUAUGCUAUGAAAAACAAAUAUGCAGGGUAUUUCAUAAAAGAAAGAACCGAAAAAUAAAUGCAUUAAUGUUUUCUGCAUGUCUUGGCAACAAAGUUUUAGUAUACAGCUUAUUAUCAGACCAAGCAAAUUAUUUUCAGGACUUCCAUGUGAAAGAUUUCAAAAUUAAUAAGUUCGAAUGCUGAAUAAAAAUAAGCUUCUGUGUAGAGAUGCCAAUGAAAUAAUGUCUGCAUAGCUACUCAUACAAUAAGUAAUGACUGUUAAUUGUAAUAAACAAAUCAAUGCUGAAAAAUUACACUGUAAUGUGUAUCUUUAAGUCUGCAUAGCUUUCAAUUUAUGUAUAAUAUUAAGAAAUUAACUAAAUGCUUCAAAAGAUGUUUGCAGUUGAUAUGGAUUAGUAGUUGCAAAUGUGUUUCAAAGUGCAUGGCAAUUUACUCAGAUGAUGAUAAAUGAAAUUUCUAAAUCAGUGACUUUGUCUUUACAAAAUGAUUGACUUUUACUAAAAGUUCGCAUAGUAUAAACAUAAUUGUCGUCAAUAAUUAAACUAAAUGUUCAUAUAAAAUUAGCUCUGAAUAUUUACCAUUAAUUAUAUUGAAAAAAAUACAGUUCAUUAAAUAUCAGUUGUUAAUGCAAUUUAAAACUUUUUUAUUUUCAAUACAUUCAUUUAUUAAAUAUCUCAAAAUAUUGUUAUUUUGUAAUUAGUUUAAAGAUUUCAAUAAAUUUCAGUAAAAUGUUUCAACUGAAGGAAAUUAACAUAAAUCCUUAAUUUAGUCCAUUUCUUUCAGGGGCAGGCGAUUUUUAUGAUACCAGUUAUGAAGUCUUUAAUUUUCCAAAUCUGUUUCAAAAGGAAAGAAAAUCAUUGUCUACCUAAAUUUUUAUAACCUUCCCCCCCUCUUCCGUUUAAUGUAAGCAAAUUAUGAAUAGUUCAAUGUACAGUCUAAAGCCAGACAGCAUUUAAUUUAACAACUUACUUCGUAUGUAGAACUAAAUAUACAUUGAUAUCUAAUAAAGUACAGAAAAACAGUGGAAUAAAAAUUUAAUAAAUAUUAUAAAAGUUCAAAAUAAUCAAAUAUUUUUAAAUAACAUAUUCUAAAAUAUGUAUUUUAAUACUAAAGUUAACUUCUAUUUUCUAAUAAUGUAUUGUAUAAAGUGUCCGAAUUUAAAAUUUUUUAAAAAAUUUUUAAUGAACAUAGCAUUAAACAGUAGCUGUAAGACUUUUUCCACAUCAGGAGAGAAAAAAAUGCAGAAUUAAUCCAAAGUAGAACAAUAAAUAUCGCACAUAUUUCGAAUGAACAUCUCUUAAGGAAAAUGUUUUAAGUUUUAACUCAGUUAGGUUUUAUAAUUGAAAAAUUCUACACAGUUUUCUAUUUUAAAAAGUUAUUAUUUUAACCAUUUCUUUUGUAUUAAGCACAUUAUAGAAUAAUAGCAAUGAAACUGCAAGAAAAGCAAAAACUUCUCUCUAAAACAGAUAUUACAAAAGAUUUGUCACAGAAAUGUACAGCAACUGAUCAGCACUCGCUCAUGAUUAAAUUUCCAUCGUCUUUAAUGGGAACGAAUGUAUAUUCGUUAAUUACGAAUAUAUAUUCUUAAUAACAUUGUAUCUGAAUCAUUAUUUGGAAUACCCAGUAAACUUAAAUUACAAAUGCAUUGUGUAUGUAUAUUAGAAUUCCGUAAAAUUUCUAAAUAAAUCUUUUUAUUUAGAAAAGAAAUAUGAUUCAAAGAAUUAUGAAAAUGAUAAGUGAAAGAGUAAUGAAUUAUUAUACAGAUUAUCACUUGUAUUAAAUGAGAACCCAUAACAAAUUGCAAACUUAAAGAAUUUGCACUUCAUUAACUUUGUUUCCAAAGUUAUAAAGGAAACAGUUGAAAACUCCAAGACUUUUGAUUUAUAUAUACAAAGAAAUUAUUUUUCCAGAAAAAAAGAAGUCUGAAAAACUUAAUCAUUAUAUUUCAGUGUGAACUUAAUGUGAAACAGUAAA